Long non-coding RNA from Chenopodium quinoa (quinoa), 1642 nucleotides. RefSeq lists it as uncharacterized. The record is from RefSeq and is a predicted model, not a curated record. NCBI's taxonomy places the organism in Eukaryota, Viridiplantae, Streptophyta, Magnoliopsida, Caryophyllales, Amaranthaceae. The transcript is spliced from 2 exons.
UGAAUAUGGUCCGGCUGAUGGGAGGAGCCCAUUACUUAUUAUUAAGGUUUCACACUUCGUUCUCUCUCCUCAAGUCCUUAGCCAUCAUGCCCUCCUUUCUCCUUUCUCCUCUCUCUUAUCUCCUCUCUCAUUUUUCUCAUUCUCUCCCUCUUCUUCGCACUUUCACUCAAUAUCUCUCUCUUCUGCUCACUCAAUCAACUCCAUUUUUGUUUCCUCUCUAUGGAUAUACGAACAAGCAUUAUGAAUACUAAAGAAAGAGAAAAGUUUGUGCCCUAAAUGCUCCGACUGAAGAUGCUUCGUCGGUGGUUCCGGGUCCUGUUGGUGAAUUGCCCGUGAUGAUUUUAUUGGUGGAUGCUAGUUCUACAUUAGCUGAGCCUGAAAAGGGGAGAAAGAGCAUCAUCAACUUCUUCUUUUGGAUGAGUUUGGAUUCGCUGAAACGGAUGAAAAUAUGAAGGAUGAUAAUUUCUCUCCUCUCACUUCCUUUUUUCUACUUGUCUUUUUGUUUUUGCUUAUAUUUUAGCUGAAUUGCGCCUAUUUUUAUGAUAAUAUCUUUUUUUCGUGUUCUCCUCAGCUUUUUGUGUAUUUUUUUGUCUUAUAUUUUUGAAAUUUAUUAUUUUUUGAGUGUGAAGGAGAUUUUGGGGACUUUUGUUUCUGUUUGGAUGUAUAGUUGAUGGUAAAGAUCCUAAGGAUUUGCAACAGGAGAUUGGUGAUGAUGAGAUUCCAGAGAAUUAAGGGGUUUAAUUUUUUUUCAAAAAUUUGGGUAAUUUUGAUUUUUGAUGGAAUCCUUGAUUUUGGUUUUUAAUGAGGAAAUUGUUAUGAUUAAGGUUUGAUGGAUGAAUUUUGCAGAAAAAUCAUGUUAUAUUUUGAUAAUUUCGAGUAUGGGUAUGUUUUUCUUCGUCAUUUCCUUUUUAUAAUUGCAUAUGUCAUUAUGGAUUUUGUUAAGAUCAUUAUUCGUUGCUUUAUCUUUGAUUAAUCAACUGUGGAUUUGGUUGAUUUUGGUUAAUUGCUCUGGAAUGUUGUUUUUUGGUAUGACUGAAUUUGUUCAGCAGAUUGGAUUAAAGUUUCUCUUUUUCUAUUUAAUUAUUUGUUUUUAUGUGUGAAAUAAUCACAUUUCAUCAUUAUUUUUUUGGUCUGAAAUCUAGGGGUUUUCAUUGUGAUCUUACUGUCCUAAGCUUUGUUGUUGGAUUGAUCCAUUUCAAGAACACAUUAUUAUAUGGUGACUGUUAUAAAUUUAAACAAAAUUUGUUUGAUCUUGUAUUUAUAUGGGUUGAGAAUUUGAGAUUGAAUUUUCAGCCGAAGAUAUCAAGUAAGUAAAAAUGGAAGAAGAUGGUUCAAGGUCAAUGCCAUCUACUCAACAACAGGUUUUGAUGGAGUGGAGAUCCACCGAGCCCAUGGCUACCUCAUUGACCAAUUCCUAAAAGAUGGUUGUACAAAAUUUAAGCUUCAUCAACAAAGCAUAAUAUUCUAUAAGAUCUUUCAAGUUCUUAGUCUACUAUGGAAUAGAAAACUUGUUUAAAUUUUCAUGUUGUAUUACGGAUUAUUAUAUAUGUAGUAGCUUUUGACUCAUUUUAGGUAGUUGUUGUAAAGUCAAUUCGGACAUUUGUAAAAGUUGUAUUAAUUAAAUUUUAGAUUUAUUAUUAUU